Molecule: ribosomal RNA, 254 nt
Filed under: uncultured bacterium
Lineage: Bacteria
Description: partial 16S ribosomal RNA
Rfam family: Bacterial small subunit ribosomal RNA
Source: RNAcentral
UACGUAGGGGGGCUAGCGUUGUCCGGAAUCAUUGGGCGUAAAGAGCGUGUAGGCGGCCCGGUAAGUCCGCUGUAAAAGUCAAAGGCUCAACCUUUGAAUGUCAGUGGAUACUGCCGGGCUAGAGUCCGGAAGAGGCGAGUGGAACUCCUGGUGUAGCGGUGGAAUGCGCAGAUAUCAGGAAGAACACCAACGGCGAAGGCAGCUCGCUGGGACGGUACUGACGCUGAGGUGCGAAAGCGUGGGGAGCAAACAGG